UGGGGAAUAUUGGACAAUGGGCGAAAGCCUGAUCCAGCAAUGCCGCGUGUGUGAAGAAGGUCUUCGGAUUGUAAAGCACUUUCGACGGGGACGAUGAUGACGGUACCCGUAGAAGAAGCCCCGGNUAACUUCGUGCCAA
RNAcentral lists this ribosomal RNA (139 nucleotides) under uncultured bacterium. RNAcentral describes it as "partial 16S ribosomal RNA". It matches the Rfam family "Bacterial small subunit ribosomal RNA", at positions 355 to 511 of the family's 1533-position model. The record is from RNAcentral.